UACGUAGGGUGCAAGCGUUAAUCGGAAUUACUGGGCGUAAAGCGUGCGCAGGCGGUUGUGCAAGACAGAUGUGAAAUCCCCGGGCUUAACCUGGGAAUUGCAUUUGUGACUGCACGGCUAGAGUGUGUCAGAGGGGGGUAGAAUUCCACGUGUAGCAGUGAAAUGCGUAGAUAUGUGGAGGAACACCGAUGGCGAAGGCAGCCCCCUGGGUUAACACUGACGCUCAUGCACGAAAGCGUGGGGAGCAAACAGG
RNAcentral lists this ribosomal RNA (253 nucleotides) under uncultured bacterium. RNAcentral describes it as "partial 16S ribosomal RNA". It matches the Rfam family "Bacterial small subunit ribosomal RNA", at positions 524 to 776 of the family's 1533-position model. The record is from RNAcentral.